GACAGAGGGUGCAAACGUUGUUCGGAAUUACUGGGCGUAAAGCGCGUGUAGGCGGUCCGGCAAGUCGGAUGUGAAAGCCCUGGGCUCAACCCAGGAAGUGCAUUCGAUACUGCCGGACUUGAGUCCCGGAGAGGGUGGUGGAACUCUCGGUGUAGAGGUGAAAUUCGUAGAUAUCGAGAAGAACACCUGUGGCGAAGGCGGCCACCUGGACGGUGACUGACGCUGAGACGCGAAAGCGUGGGGAGCAAACAGG
Molecule: ribosomal RNA, 253 nt
Filed under: uncultured bacterium
Lineage: Bacteria
Description: partial 16S ribosomal RNA
Rfam family: Bacterial small subunit ribosomal RNA
Source: RNAcentral